AGUCGAACGUCCCCGUGUGCGGGGGCGUGGCGUACGGCUCAGUAACACGUAGUCAACUGCCCUGGAGACAAGGACAACCCCGGGAAACUGGGAUUAAUCCUUGAUAGGUCAUCUCAUCUGGAAGGAGAGAUGGCUUAAAGGGGUACGCGGGCUUCUUCUGCGUAUUCGCUCCAGGAUGGGACUGCGUCCGAUCAGGCUGUUGGCGGGGUAAUGGCCCACCAAACCUGUAACCGGUACGGGCCUUGAGAGAGGUGGCCCGGAGAUGGACACUGAGAGAAGGGUCCAGGUCCUACGGGGCGCAGCAGGCGCGAAACCUUCGCAAUGCGCGAAAGCGUGACGAGGUUAAUCCGAGUGACUCCCGCUGAGGGGGUCUUUUGUCAGCUGUAAAUAGGCAGGCGAAUAAGGGGAGGGCAAGCCUGGUGUCAGCCGCCGCGGUAAUACCAGCUCCUCGAGUGGUCGGGGCGAUUAUUGGGCCUAAAGCAUCCGUAGCCGGUUCCGUAGGUCCUCUGUUAAAUCCAACCGCUCAACGGUUGACCUGCAGAGGAUACCGCGGGACUAGGAGGCGGGAGAGGCGGACGGUAUUCCGCGUGUAGGGGUAAAAUCCUUUGAUCCGCGGAGGACCACCAGUGGCGAAGGCGGUCCGCCAGAACGCGCUCGACGGUGAGGGAUGAAAGCUGGGGGAGCGAACCGGAUUAGAUACCCGGGUAGUCCCAGCCGUAAACGAUGCUAGCUAGAUGAUUCAUUCGCAAGUCGCGAAUGAAGUGUCGCAGGGAAGCCGUUAAGCUAGCCGCCUGGGGAGUACGGUCGCAAGACUGAAACUUAAAGGAAUUGGCGGG
This 836-nucleotide ribosomal RNA is filed under the name uncultured archaeon. Its description in RNAcentral is "bacterial SSU rRNA". It matches the Rfam family "Archaeal small subunit ribosomal RNA", at positions 56 to 872 of the family's 1478-position model. The record is from RNAcentral.